GACGAACGCUGGCGGCGUGCUUAACACAUGCAAGUCGAACGGAAAGGCCCUGCUUGCAGGGUACUCGAGUGGCGAACGGGUGAGUAACACGUGGGUGAUCUGCCCUGCACUUCGGGAUAAGCCUGGGAAACUGGGUCUAAUACCGGAUAUGACCUUCCAUGUAGUGUGGGGGGUGGAAAGAUUUAUCGGUGUGGGAUGAGCCCGCGGCCUAUCAGCUUGUUGGUGGGGUAAUGGCCUACCAAGGCGUCGACGGGUAGCCGGCCUGAGAGGGUGGACGGCCACAUUGGGACUGAGAUACGGCCCAGACGCCUACGGGAGGCAGCAGUGGGGAAUACUGCACAAUGGGCGGAAGCCUUAUGCAGCGACGCCGCGUGGGGGAUGACGGCCUUCGGGUGGUAACCUCUUUCGACAGGGACGAAGCUUCGGUGACGGUACCUGUAGAAGAAGCACCGGCUAACUACGUG
RNAcentral lists this ribosomal RNA (464 nucleotides) under uncultured bacterium. RNAcentral describes it as "partial 16S ribosomal RNA". It matches the Rfam family "Bacterial small subunit ribosomal RNA", at positions 28 to 507 of the family's 1533-position model. The record is from RNAcentral.